AUGCACAUCAUUGGAUACAUCAUGAGUUAUAUUUUCAGAAUGUACAUGUUUGGUAUUGUAGAUGUAGACAGUUUUCUCUAUACACUGGGUCAAAGUUGGCAAAGUUUGACUUCCACAAAAAUCUAUAGACACUACAUUUUGGAAUGGAGGGAGUACAUUUAUUGCCAUUGCAUUUUACCUUCUUCCUAUUGCAGACCAUCGCUAUUCUUUGCAUGCCAUAGAGCCAUAGAAUCUACCGUGCAAUUUGACUCCCAUCUCCUGCUGUGUAGACGUCAAGAGUAUGAGAAACAUAAUCGCCAUACCAUCUGA
RNAcentral lists this ribosomal RNA (309 nucleotides) under Triticum aestivum (bread wheat). RNAcentral describes it as "partial small subunit ribosomal RNA". Lineage: Eukaryota; Viridiplantae; Streptophyta; Magnoliopsida; Poales; Poaceae. The record is from RNAcentral.